GAACGUCGGCAACUGGUGCAUGUAGU
This 26-nucleotide non-coding RNA is filed under the name Bombyx mori (domestic silkworm). The record is from RNAcentral. Lineage: Eukaryota; Metazoa; Arthropoda; Insecta; Lepidoptera; Bombycidae.